CCUGGCGCCUCCCGCGGUCCUCUCCGCCGGCUUGCCCGCCUCCCCUUCGACGACGAUGGCGGACCCGCAUUCCGCGCCCUCCCUCCUCGACGGCAGCCGCCGGACCGAGCGCACGACACCAACUUCGGUCACCCUUCCUUCUACCGCUUCCACAAGCCGAUCCUCGGCUUCCUCCGUCAUCGGCAGGCCGUGUACGACAACCGCGAACAGUGCGAGCGGCGUAGCGGGCGAGAAGCCGGCUUCGAGAGCAGCAAGGCGGAGGCUGUGCCGCCGUGCCUUUCGCUGGCGAACGCGUCGGAGGUCGAUGGGGCGGAGGCGUCGAUCCAUGGCGUUGCGUCGUUGCAGUGUAGGUCGUUGGAGGGCGCUCGUAGUGAGGGCGAGUGCGAGACUGACUGCCACAGCACAUAACGAGUCAGAAGGGGUAUCUACUGAUGUGAAGAGGCUAUAGUAGUGGUACAGUGGGAGGGUGAGUGGAAGUAGAGCGGAAAAGUAGAAGCGAGAGCAAAGAAGUGCGAUAAAACGACGGGGAGUGAGAGUGGAAGAGCGCAAUGUGGCAGGCUGGUUAAGGAGUGUGUAUAGGGCUUGGGGAACGAAGAACAAAACCGAGUGCUCAAGAAACCAUCGAGAAAAUGCCAUUUUU
This 640-nucleotide unclassified non-coding RNA is filed under the name Rhodotorula toruloides. The record is from RNAcentral. Lineage: Eukaryota; Fungi; Basidiomycota; Microbotryomycetes; Sporidiobolales; Sporidiobolaceae.